AUCUUGUUACCUUAUAAUUAAAGUCUGGAACUCUUAAUUCCAAAAAGGAGUAAUUAAAACUCCACAAGACA
Molecule: transfer RNA, 71 nt
Filed under: Gorgonocephalus chilensis
Lineage: Eukaryota; Metazoa; Echinodermata; Ophiuroidea; Euryalida; Gorgonocephalidae
Description: tRNA-Lys
Source: RNAcentral